RNAcentral lists this ribosomal RNA (274 nucleotides) under uncultured bacterium. RNAcentral describes it as "partial 16S ribosomal RNA". It matches the Rfam family "Bacterial small subunit ribosomal RNA", at positions 523 to 796 of the family's 1533-position model. The record is from RNAcentral.
AUACGGAGGGUGCGAGCGUUAAUCGGAAUUACUGGGCGUAAAGGGUGCGUAGGCGGCUUGAUAAGUCGGAUGUGAAAGCCCCGGGCUUAACCUGGGAAUUGCAUUCGAUACUGUCAGGCUAGAGUAUGUCAGAGGUUGGCGGAAUUCCUGGUGUAGCGGUGAAAUGCGUAGAUAUCAGGAGGAACACCAGUGGCGAAGGCGGCUAACUGGGGCAAUACUGACGCUGAGGCACGAAAGCGCGGGGAGCAAACAGGAUUAGAUACCCUAGUAGUCC